This 2632-nucleotide long non-coding RNA is filed under the name Canis lupus familiaris (dog). RNAcentral describes it as "nucleosome assembly protein 1 like 2 (ENSCAFG00000017188.5, ENSCAFG00805030346.1, ENSCAFG00845029811.1)". The record is from RNAcentral. Lineage: Eukaryota; Metazoa; Chordata; Mammalia; Carnivora; Canidae.
GGAUUUUGGUUUAAUUAAUAUAUUUUUUAGUAUUUUUCAAAUGUUUUCCAAUGAACAUAAUGAGAAAAAAGAUCAGUUUCAAAACAAGAAACACUCUGAAAUUUUUAUUUAUUUUAUUUUGCAGUGAAAGAACAUGAAAAAACUUCAAAAUGGUAACAUGAUUACUUCCAAUGAAUGAUUAAGUGUACUAUAGGAAGAGAAAUACACUCUUAAUACAGUUUACAUAAUUACACAGAAUAAUAUGUGGCAAUCUCUUGAAAGUAAUGUGAUUAACCACUAAUAAACAAUAACCUCAAUAUAACUAUGUUAUAUUAUUUAUUAUGGUCACAUAAAAUACAAGAGCCUAUGGACCAGCUAUUAUUAACAAUAAAUGUGGUUUUGCCUGAAAUUCUUAACUAUUUACAGGUUUCUUAAGCAUUCAAGUUUUAAAUCUACUGUAUUUUUAUUGCAAAAUGAAGCAGGUACAACAGCAUUAAACCCACUAGAUUAAGGUCUAAGAAAACAAAUAUAAAAACAAACAACAGCAACAGCAGAAAACCUUGGGUUGGUUCUCCAAGAUUUUCUUUUCAAAUAAAUGUUGAUCUCAUUUAGCAGUUCCGAUAAUACUCACAGCCACAGAUUAAUAGCUACAUGAUAAAAGGACUUUAGAAGGAUUUAAACUACACAACACUAUACUAAUAUUUUAAAUCAUCUACCACAGUUUACAUUUCUUGAAAGCAUUCUACUACUAAAAUGCAACACCAAAUGAAUUAGUAUUUAAAUUUCUCCUAUACUUCUGAGACCUAUGUUUUAACUGGCACUGCAAGAAAAAAUUCAGAACACGAGAAUAUAAUUAACUUAUAUAUAUUGAGUAAAGAUCUAAGGCAGUAAAUGUUAGGGCCAAGUAUACUCUGCUGUUAGCGAUCAAUGUCUUCUACUAUUGUCUCAAGAUUUUUGCAACAGGCUUUAACCUCCUCAAUUGCAGCCAUCCAAUUAUCAUAAAUAAUUUUGUCAUAAAUUGCAUCAUUAACUUCCCUAACUACCCCCUCCUGCUGAGACUCAAGGGCAUCACCUGAGAAAAACAACACUGAUCUUGGAAUUAUAUAAGUACGUAAAUUGUGACCAAGUAAAAAAUCAUCAUUUCCAUCUUUUCCAUUUGAGCUGAUUCCCUGAGGAGUAAAGAAAUUGAAGAAUGAAUCCUUGGGAAAAUCUUCAGUUACAGUUCGUACUGUUCCCCAAAUCCGAUGCUUCUGCUUCUUCCUGAUGGUUUUCAAAGUGACAUUCUUUCCUUCAUUCCAAUCUAUCUCACAGCCUGUGCAAUACUCAAUUGCAGUUCCCCUAUAGGGAUGGGGAUCAUAAUAUGCCAGCCUUGACUUCAGCACAUAAGUCUUUGUUAACAGCUCAUUUUUGAAAUAUUCAUUGGGCUUGAAGUGAAAUUCUAGUGUGAAACUGAGAGGCUCACCAGGACCUGAAAGUUUCACUUUAAUAUCUGUCAGGAGCUUCAGAAUAGGCUCAUCAUAUUUCUUAAUCAAAGGAGUGAGUGUGUCAACAUUUUUUAAGACAGUCAGCCAAAAAUCAGGAAUUCCUUUAGGAUCCUGUUCUUCUUUAUUCUCUUUUCCAGUAGCCUCAAUGUCAUCACCAUUAUCAUCAUCAUCAUCAUCGCCAUCAUCUUCCUCAACAGCAUAAUCAUAAUAAUCUCCCUCAUAACCAUCAUCCUCAUCCAUAUACUCAUGCACCAGACCCUCCUCAUUACCAUACAUCUCUUCCUCAUCAUACAUCUCAUCAUCAUAGUCCUCUGAGUCUGAUUUAUAUUCACAUUCCUCUUUUGUAGGUUCAUAGAUUGCAUUUAUAAUCUGACGUCUUUUUUCCAAUAAGGGUUGAUACAUUUCAGCAAACUUUCUUUCAAUGCCAUGAAAUUCCCUCAUAAAUUUGGAUUCUAGAUUGGCCACUCUAGUUUGAAGCUUUUUGAGGGCUAACACACGGUACUUAACUUUCAAAGGUAGACUUUCAACAAAGUCUGUAUCUAAAAGAUAACCAAUAAGUCCUUUUGGACGAUCUGAAUCCUCAUCAAUAUCUUCAUCUUUUACCCCACCUUCCCCGGACCCAGCAGCAGCAUCUUCUCCUUUUCCCCCUUCUUUCCCAGGCCCAACGGCGGCUUCUUCACCGCGCUCCUUAUCAUCUCCAGGCCCAGCUGCGACAUCUUCACUCUGCUCCGGCUGUUCCCCGGGUCCCUCCAUAAUUACCUUAUUAUCAGCCUCUUCUUGACUAAAUUCUAACAGUUUCUUGUGGUCGGCUGACUCGGCCAUUUUUCAAAGGACCGUAACGCGUAAGGUGGCUACCGCCAAGAUAAGGAGACCUGACCUCCGCAGGGAAAGACUCACCGGAAUAGCAGAAGCGGUGGUGGCUGGGGCAGAGGUGGAGCGAGCAGUAGUGGCUGGCUGGGCUGCGGGAAUAACGGUGGAGGCUGCUGCGGGGAUGAAUGCUGUGAGAAGUGGACAGAGGCAACGGUAGGAUGGGCUUGGGUGCAGAGAGUGGCGAGGCCAGUCUCGCAGGAGCGAGCCAGAGACGGCAGAGAGCUGCAGUUGGGCGGACCUCCUUCGCAAGCAGCAGCUGCUGCAAGAAAAACCGGUGCCGCAAUAUGAUUACACAGAGG